Molecule: small RNA, 28 nt
Filed under: Bombyx mori (domestic silkworm)
Lineage: Eukaryota; Metazoa; Arthropoda; Insecta; Lepidoptera; Bombycidae
Description: ovarian small RNA-19041
Source: RNAcentral
UAACUGUCUCGUAGCAUCGUCCUUUUCC